UGCCAAUGAUUACACUUGCUGCCCGAAACAUUUGUGUGGAUUUAUUUCAGCAUUCGUCACUACCACUGAGGCA
This 73-nucleotide small nucleolar RNA is filed under the name Tetraodon nigroviridis (spotted green pufferfish). RNAcentral describes it as "Small nucleolar RNA SNORD70 (ENSTNIG00000020569.1)". Lineage: Eukaryota; Metazoa; Chordata; Actinopteri; Tetraodontiformes; Tetraodontidae. The record is from RNAcentral.